CCUACGGGAGGCCGCAGUGGGGAAUAUUGCACAAUGGGCGCAAGCCUGAUGCAGCCAUGCCGCGUGUGUGAAGAGGGCCUUCGGGUUGUAAAGCACUUUCAGCGGGGAGGAAGGCGGUGAGGUUAAUAACCUCAUCGAUUGACGUUACCCGCAGAAGAAGCACCGGCUAACUCCGUGCCAGCAGCCGCGGUAAUACGGAGGGUGCAAGCGUUAAUCGGAAUUACUGGGCGUAAAGCGCACGCAGGCGGUCUGUCAAGUCGGAUGUGAAAUCCCCGGGCUCAACCUGGGAACUGCAUUCGAAACUGGCAGGCUAGAGUCUUGUAGAGGGGGGUAGAAUUCCAGGCGUAGCGGUGAAAUGCGUAGAGAUCUGGAGGAAUACCGGUGGCGAAGGCGGCCCCCUGGACAAAGACUGACGCUCAGGUGCGAAAGCGUGGGGAGCAAACAGGAUUAGAUACCCGAGUAGUC
This 465-nucleotide ribosomal RNA is filed under the name uncultured Klebsiella sp. Its description in RNAcentral is "bacterial SSU rRNA". It matches the Rfam family "Bacterial small subunit ribosomal RNA", at positions 338 to 795 of the family's 1533-position model. The record is from RNAcentral. Lineage: Bacteria; Pseudomonadati; Pseudomonadota; Gammaproteobacteria; Enterobacterales; Enterobacteriaceae.